This 297-nucleotide ribosomal RNA is filed under the name Atopobium sp. HMSC064B08. RNAcentral's name for it is "partial 16S ribosomal RNA". It matches the Rfam family "Bacterial small subunit ribosomal RNA", at positions 571 to 870 of the family's 1533-position model. Lineage: Bacteria; Bacillati; Actinomycetota; Coriobacteriia; Coriobacteriales; Atopobiaceae. The record is from RNAcentral.
GUAGGCGGUCUGUUAGGUCGGGAGUUAAAUCCGGGGGCUCAACCCCCGCUCGCUCUCGAUACCGGCAGACUUGAGUUUGGUAGGGGAAGGUGGAAUUCCUAGUGUAGCGGUGGAAUGCGCAGAUAUUAGGAAGAACACCAGUGGCGAAGGCGGCCUUCUGGGCCAUAACUGACGCUGAGGAGCGAAAGCUAGGGGAGCAAACAGGAUUAGAUACCCUGGUAGUCCUAGCCGUAAACGAUGGACACUAGGUGUGGGGGAGCAUUUCUUCCGUGCCGCAGCUAACGCAUUAAGUGUCCC